UAAGUGCGGAACGGAUAAACGCUGAAGGCAUCUAAGCGUGAAGCCGACCUUAAGAUAAGAUAUCCCUUCGUAAGAGUAAGACCUCUCAAAGACUAUGAGUUUGAUAGGCUCAAAGUGUAAGCGUGGUGACACGUUCAGCUUGCGAGUACUAAUCGGUCGAGGGCUUUUCCU
RNAcentral lists this ribosomal RNA (171 nucleotides) under Ruminococcus flavefaciens. RNAcentral's name for it is "23S rRNA. Bacterial LSU". It matches the Rfam family "Bacterial large subunit ribosomal RNA", at positions 2750 to 2925 of the family's 2925-position model. The record is from RNAcentral. Lineage: Bacteria; Bacillati; Bacillota; Clostridia; Eubacteriales; Oscillospiraceae.